AAGUUCUAUUUCAUGAAAACUGUAAAUUGAUUCAGAAGAAGCAAUUAUUUUGAUAUUCUAAACAGUAAAAAGAGUUCAAAGCAAUUAUAUAUCUUUCUUUCUUUUGCCUCAGUUGGUAAAAGCGUUAUUAGUUUUUCUGAGUAAAAAAGCGUUGUUUUGUUGUGCUAUAGUCCCACAUCGCUUACAUGAAAGAAUUAUCAAGUGUUUAUAUAACGCUUUAACACAACAUUGUUUGUCCCUUCGGGGACAUCCGAUAAAAUUGGAACGAUACAGAGAAGAUUAGCAUGGCCCCUGCGCAAGGAUGACACGCACAAAUCGAGAAAUGAUUGAAGCUGAAUGUGUAAGAAUCAAAGAUUACAAACAAAAUCCUAGACGGAUUAAUGAGUUGAUGAAGAUAAUCCAGUUGCAGUAAAGUAAAUCAAUGCAUGCUUAUGACUAUUUGUCUAUCAAUUAUCUUAAUUUUGAAAUGUAGGGUUAAAUUUUUCUAAGGUUUGAUUUUUAUAUCUUACAAUGAAAUGCAGUGUCACUAGAUUUUAUACGAUUGAUAUGAUAUUAACAUGUAUGCAUGUGUUACUGCUAAAUUUGUCAAUAAAAUGUUUUGUGAUAUAAUCAUAUAAAACAUAAUUGAAGUAUUGCUCCUAACUUUUUUGUUGUCUCUUCUUAAUUGCUGAAUUUUAUAUGUCUAUUUACCUUCUUUGUUGAAUGUCUUUUUCUUAUGAUUAAGGAAACAACUUAGAUGUAAUUCAAUUUCAGGAGAAACUGCACUACAAAAUAUAUUGACUUACUUUCAAGUUUUUCUUCUUCAGUUUUUUCUUUUCUAAAAUUCCUAAAACAAAAUUCAGCUGAAUAAACUCUGCGAGAUAUUAAGCAACGGAACCAAUACAACACGGAUAAUUAAUAAGCUCUAAGAAAAACUUAAUAAUAAUGGCUGUAGUUUGCUUUACCACUCCUCUCCAUGCUACUUAGUCUUCCAAUUCAUCGCUAUUGGGUUUCUAUCCCAGUAAGAACAAUUUUUUGAGUGUUUCGUGUCAAAUUCCCAUUUGCAUAGGUCAUAGUAUAGUAUCAACACCUUUUUUCACCCUUUUUCUUGAAUUUUACUCCUUGAGGUGCUACAACCUCCAUUGAUAGAUGGAGUUGGGACUUCCCACAUUUGCUGCUCUCUUGUUGAACAUCUUUCUUCUCAUUCCAUCCUUAAACUUAACUGAGACUAGGACAGUUAAGGCUGAAGCCUCUAUUAAUCUGCGUGAUUUCAUGGCAGCUAACAUCUCUGUUAGCGAAACUGGAUAUCUUCUGACCUUGUAUGACAAUGCUGCAAAGGGGGUUGACAUAAUCAUCUGGCCUAAUAUUGUAUAUCAGUCUAGGGUCCAAUGCACUGUGGAAUCACAGUUUGCUUUACCACUCCUCUCCAUGCUACUUAGUCUUCCAAUUCAUCGCUAUUGGGUUUCUAUCCCAGUAAGAACAAUUUUUUGAGUGUUUCGUGUCAAAUUCCCAUUUGCAUAGGUCAUAGUAUAGUAUCAACACCUUUUUUCACCCUUUUUCUUGAAUUUUACUCCUUGAGGUGCUACAACCUCCAUUGAUAGAUGGAGUUGGGACUUCCCACAUUUGCUGCUCUCUUGUUGAACAUCUUUCUUCUCAUUCCAUCCUUAAACUUAACUGAGACUAGGACAGUUAAGGCUGAAGCCUCUAUUAAUCUGCGUGAUUUCAUGGCAGCUAACAUCUCUGUUAGCGAAACUGGAUAUCUUCUGACCUUGUAUGACAAUGCUGCAAAGGGGGUUGACAUAAUCAUCUGGCCUAAUAUUGUAUAUCAGUCUAGGGUCCAAUGCACUGUGGAAUCACAGUUCCAGCUCCCAUGGCUAAAGCUUGAUGUGUGGUCAGUCACAUCUUCUUUUGUCAUGAUUUCAGAUUUGACAGCUGUAAGGCUCCAUCUUGCGUGAGCUGAACAGAAAAGAGUUUAAAUUCCCCUGACAUGAGGUCAUGUCAUUGAGGUACCUUACAUGACAGAGAAGUUCACACUUUUAGUGUGUCCUCUGGAAGGCCUAUCGGACCAAGGUUCUGAGACCAUACAGCAAUGACAAUGAGGUUGAAUCCUGGCGCUAUAAGAUCUAGUUUGAGGAUUGAAGGGUUUGUAAAACUUGGCCCUCUGACUGAGAAUCUUGUGUACACUUUGCUAUUACAGUUCCUCAAAAUUCAAUCCUAGCAAGUGGCCUUGUUGUGGAGUUUAUGUAAGAUUUCAAGUCGCCUAAUUCAUCAAAUCCUACCAAUAUUGCAGGCAUGACACAUGUACAUCAACCAAAUUUUCUUCCAAGUUUAGCUCUGUGUUUGCCAAGAUCAUAGAAGCACCACCUGUUUCUUCACAACUUGACCCUUUUCUGAUCUUCUGUUAACCCCACGAUUGCAUAUUUUUCCUUGAAUUUUGUCCUUUGGAAGAGACACUUUGAGGCAAAAGUGCUUCUUCCAAGGUUAGUUAUUGGGAUUCUGCAUAUUUGCUCUGGAUGUAUUAUGCUUAUAAGUUAUAAGGCAUGUGUGUUUUUUAACCGGUUUUUCCCAUAUUUGAGUUUGAUUGGAUUUUAUAUUUGAGUAGGAAGAAUGAGGCAUGCCCAUUAUCUUCUCUGGUAUUUGAUCGCAGAAACCUGGUAUAAGUAAUGAGUUGUUUACUGUGUUCAAUUUUGUUAUUUUUUGUGCCUUCAAAUUUAUGAAAUGUGACUUCGUUUGGAAAUGUCUUAUUUAAUAUUAUUUAAGUGUUUGUUAUUAUACAUUGUUUGUUGAUUUUGCUGGCUUUGCCUAUCCACUUUGAGCUGGAUAUUUAUUUAUUUUUUGAAUGGUUGAGCUGGAUAUUUAUUGUAACUGUCAUUUUGAGACUAGCACUACUGUUUUGCUUCAAUAACUUAGUGUUGGCACUUGGCAUACAUAUCAGGAAACUUGACGACUCUUAAUUUUGAAAUGGAUUUUAUUAGGCAUACGUAUUUUGAAGUAAUAUUUGUCUAUGUUCAACAUUAUUUGUGUACUUCAUUUCCUUAACAUAUCUCUAUGGGUUGUCCAGGUGAAGGAAUAUGAUUGGAAUUAUUCAGCAUCGCCAUUGUUCCCUCUUAAUGUCUGAAAUAAUUUGAAGUUUUGUUGCUGAUUUUAGGGUUUUUAUUUUUGCAGAUUGAAGCUGAAUGUGUAAGUAUCAAACAUUACAAAUAAAACCCUAGACGGAUUAACGAGUAGAUGAAGCUAAUCUAGUUGCAGUAAAGUAAACUAAUGCAUACUUAAGGCUAUUUGUCUGUUGGUUAAUUAUCUUAUUUUUGCAAUAUAGGGUUAAUUUUUUAAACUGUUUGAUUUUAAUAGCUAACUUAAUACUCUGAUUUUGAAUCAUAUAUUAUUAUGUACACAAUUUAUUCAAUGGAAUUAUUCAACUAGUUGAUUUGUAUGUUCUGUUCAUUUUUUUUAAUUUUUUUUUGGUGAUAUGAUCAAAUAAAACAUGACUGUGAAGUUCAAUUUAACCCCUUUUGUUUUUUUUGUCUAUUUACCUUGUCUUUUUUCCUUAUGGUAAAGAAAACAACUGAGAUGUUCUUGUAUAUGAUUUUGGAGAUAAUUGAUUGAUGCAGUUCAAUUUCAUGAGAAACUGCACUGCAAAAAUUUGUGUGUGAAAAUUCUGAUUCAAGAAACAAGUAAAGACCAAUUAUUUAACCUUUAUAAAUGGACUUACUUUUAAUAUUUCCUUCUUAAGUUUUUCCAUUAGAGAUGCUCUAAGACUCCUGAUAGUCUAAUAGAAAAUUCAGCAUAAACUUUAGACAAACUAAUAAUGACAGUAGCCUAUUGUACUAGUAUGUUUCUCCAUGCUACUUAGGCUUCCAAUUCACUGCUAUUGUUGGGCUUCUAUCUAUGUAAGAACCAUUUUGUUAGUUUAUACAUGUCAAAUGCCCUUCUGCAUUGGUCAUGGUAUCCACACACAUCUUGUAAUAGUGUAACUCAUGCUUUGAUUCUUUGUUUAAAUAGCAGCUUCUUGUGUUUCAUUUUGACUUUUACUCCACGAGGUGCCGCAAACAACGUCCACUGAGUAGAUGGAGUUAGGACCUCCCAAAUUUGCUACCCUCCUGCUGAACAUCUUUCGCCUCAUUACAUCCACCGAGAUUGAGGGAUAGUUAAGGCUGAACAAUCCUCUAUUCAUCUGCAUGAUUUCAUGACAUCUAACAUUGCUUUGCGUGAUACUGAAUAUUUUUGAUCUUGUAGAAUCAAUGUCGCAAAGGUGGUUGACAUAUUCAUCUGGCCUAAUAUCAUAUAUCAGUCAUGGAAUCAAUGCUGCUAUUUGUGGAUUAACAUUUCCAUCUCCCUUGACAAAAGCUCCAGCUGAUUUGUCUUCGUCAAGUACUGGUCUUCCUGUGUAUCAGUUACAUCUUCCAUCUUGGUUGAGCUGAACGGAUACGAGCUGCAAUUGCACUAACAUGAGGCGUGGAUGACAUGUCAUUGAGGUACCUGACAUGACAGAGACGUUCAUUCUUCUGAUGUUCUCUGGAAGCCCUAUCGGACAAAGGUUCUGAGGCCAUGCAACAAAUAAUCUCGACUCUUGGAGAUAUAACAUCUCGGUUUAAGGAUUGAAGGGUUUGUAAAACUUGGCCUUCUGGCUGAGAAUCGUGUAAAUGCUGGUUCUCUAGAUCUAGACUUUCAUAUUACAGCUCCUCCAAAUUCAAUAUCAGCAAGUAGCCUUGUUGUGGAUUUUAUGUAAGAUUUCAAGGUGAGUGAUUCAUCAAGUCAUACCAAUGUUGCAGGCAAGACAAUAACAUCAACCGAAUCUUCUUCCAAGUUUAGUUGUGUUUGGCAAGAUCAUAGCAGCACAACCUGUGAUAGAACACCUAGGCAUAUCUAGAAGGAAGUGGGACUCUGGGGAGAGAGUGAGAGUUAGUUAGAGGUGUUGGGGUAUUUUUCCUUGCGAUUCUGUUAGAGAAUGUUAUUAAAAACAGGGUAGUGGUGAGUAUGGGAAUCAUUCAGAGAUAUUGUUAGAAUUGAUUAGGAGAGUUUUCUCUCUGGUUAGGAAUCUUUGACUCUGGUUAUCAUUUUCCUUCAUUGUAGAGCCUUUGAGCUCAUCUUUAUUACUUUAAUAAUACAGUUUCCUUAUUCAUAA
Trifolium pratense (red clover) is the source of this 5101-nucleotide long non-coding RNA. RefSeq lists it as uncharacterized. The transcript has 2 exons. The record is from RefSeq and is a predicted model, not a curated record. Lineage: Eukaryota; Viridiplantae; Streptophyta; Magnoliopsida; Fabales; Fabaceae.